GACGAACGCUGGCGGCGUGCUUAACACAUGCAAGUCGAACGGAAAGGCCCUGCUUUUGUGGGGUGCUCGAGUGGCGAACGGGUGAGUAACACGUGAGUAACCUGCCCUUGACUUUGGGAUAACUUCAGGAAACUGGGGCUAAUACCGGAUAGGAGCUCCUGCUGCAUGGUGGGGGUUGGAAAGUUUCGGCGGUUGGGGAUGGACUCGCGGCUUAUCAGCUUGUUGGUGGGGUAGUGGCUUACCAAGGCUUUGACGGGUAGCCGGCCUGAGAGGGUGACCGGCCACAUUGGGACUGAGAUACGGCCCAGACUCCUACGGGAGGCAGCAGUGGGGAAUGUUGCACACUGGGCGGAAGCCUGCUGCAGCAACGCCGCGUGCGGGAUGACGGCCUUCGGGUUGUAAACCGCUUUCGCCUGUGACGAAGCGUGAGUGACGGUAAUGGGUAAAGAAGCACCGGCUAACUACGUG
RNAcentral lists this ribosomal RNA (468 nucleotides) under uncultured bacterium. RNAcentral's name for it is "partial 16S ribosomal RNA". It matches the Rfam family "Bacterial small subunit ribosomal RNA", at positions 28 to 507 of the family's 1533-position model. The record is from RNAcentral.